UAAAUCAACUUCCGUUUGUUUCUAGCAAUCCUUGCACAAUAUGAAUUAUUUCAGGUAACAGACCAUGCUUCCACUUGCGCCUAAUUAUCCUAAUACCAAGGUUUUAGUUAACUACUCCAGAACACAAGUAAUAAGAGCAAUUCAAUUGAUGAAUAUCACAAACAACUCAUCAAUCUAUAUUUGGGGCUAAUCCUUCAUAAUUCUAUUUGAACCCUAAACCUAACACGAUGAACUACUCAAACAUAGCAAAUAACACAAAGGAAUUCAUAAAUAGGUUAAGGUUAGAAGUACUUGAGUUUCAAUACAAAUCUCUGAAAGAGUCUUGGAUCUUCUCUCCAAAUCUAUUAAAAACCUUUUCUGUGUGAAACUAGAAAAUAGGAAAAGCGUAGAAAGCGUGUGUUGCCUAGAACAAUGGCAGAACAACAUAGAUAGUGCACCCAAAUCACCACUUUUCUCCAAAUCAUCCCUGAACCUGUAAAAGUGCUAAAAAGACUCCAAAACAACAUAGAUAGUCCCUAAAAUACCUAUAUACCAUGGCUGAAAGUGGGUAAAAUCUAUGGUAUAUCACACCCCCAGACUUACCUUUUUGUUUGUCCUCAAACAAAACAAAGGGUAGUCUUUGCUAAGAGGUUUUAGAAACAGCAGGGACUCACACAAUUUAAGAACUCAUAUCAUCACCUCUACAAUGUUGCAAGCCAUAUCAAAUAAAUUUUAACUUCAGAGGUAUCCUAUAUACCAUAUCCUAGCUUAGCAACCAAAUCCAUGUAACCAUCAACUUAGCUAAUAGUGUCUGACUCGCCCCUC
This 804-nucleotide long non-coding RNA is filed under the name Brassica napus (rape). Its description in RNAcentral is "long non-coding RNA (BNAP_LNC017507)". Lineage: Eukaryota; Viridiplantae; Streptophyta; Magnoliopsida; Brassicales; Brassicaceae. The record is from RNAcentral.